RNAcentral lists this ribosomal RNA (519 nucleotides) under uncultured bacterium. RNAcentral's name for it is "bacterial SSU rRNA". It matches the Rfam family "Bacterial small subunit ribosomal RNA", at positions 25 to 526 of the family's 1533-position model. The record is from RNAcentral.
CAGGAUGAACGCUGGCGGCGUGCCUAAUACAUGCAAGUCGAGCGAACAGAUAAGGAGCUUGCUCCUUUGAAGUUAGCGGCGGACGGGUGAGUAACACGUGGGUAACCUACCUAUAAGACUGGGAUAACUUCGGGAAACCGGAGCUAAUACCGGAUAACAUUUAGAACCGCAUGGUUCUAAAGUGAAAGAUGGUUUUGCUAUCACUUAUAGAUGGACCCGCGCCGUAUUAGCUAGUUGGUAAGGUAACGGCUUACCAAGGCGACGAUACGUAGCCGACCUGAGAGGGUGAUCGGCCACACUGGAACUGAGACACGGUCCAGACUCCUACGGGAGGCAGCAGUAGGGAAUCUUCCGCAAUGGGCGAAAGCCUGACGGAGCAACGCCGCGUGAGUGAUGAAGGGUUUCGGCCCGUAAAACUCUGUUAUUAGGGAAGAACAAAUGUGUAAGUAACUGUGCACAUCUUGACGGUACCUAAUCAGAAAGCCACGGCUAACUACGUGCCAGCAGCCGCGGUAAUAC